AAAAAAGGCGGUAGGCAUGAUUCUUAGGCAAAUCCGGGAAUCUCUAUGCCGAGCACCGAGACGAGUCCUAUGAGGACGAAGUGACUGACACCACGCUUCCAGGAAAAGCCACUAAGCUUCAGCUGUAGAAAAACCGUACCGCAAACCGACACAGGUAGGCAGGGUGAGAAUCCCAAGGCGCUUGAGAGAACUCGGGUGAAGGAACUAGGCAAAAUGGCACCGUAACUUCGGGAGAAGGUGCGCCUCUUGGUGUGGUCACGUGCGUGACUGAGCAUCGAGGGGUCGCAGUAACCUGGCCGCUGCGACUGUUUAUCAAAAACACAGCACUCUGCAAACACGAAAGUGGACGUAUAGGGUGUGACGCCUGCCCGGUGCUGGAAGGUUAAUUGAUGGGGUCAGCCGCAAGGCGAAGCUCUUGAUCGAAGCCCCAGUAAACGGCGGCCGUAACAAUAACGGUCCUAAGGUGGUGAAAUUCCUUGUCGGGUAAGUUCCGACCUGCACGAAUGGCGUAACGACAGCGGCGCUGUCUCCACCCGAGACUCAGUGAAAUUGAAAUCGCUGUGAAGAUGCAGCGUUCCCGCGGCAAGACGGAAAGACCCCGUGAACCUUUACUAUAGCUUUACACUGAACGUUGAGUUCUUCUGUGUAGGAUAGGUGGGAGGCUAUGAAACCAGGACGCUAGUUCUGGUGGAGCCAUCCUUGAAAUACCACCCUGAAGUGCUUGACGUUCUAACCUAGGUCCGUAAUCCGGAUCGGGGACCGUGUAUGGUGGGUAGUUUGACUGGGGCGGUCUCCUCCCAAAGAGUAACGGAGGAGCACGGAGGUACGCUCAGCGCGGUCGGACAUCGCGCACUGUGUGCAAAGGCAUAAGCGUGCUUGACUGCGAGAUCGACGGAUCAAGCAGGUACGAAAGUAGGUCUUAGUGAUCCGGUGGUUCUGUAUGGAAGGGCCAUCGCUCAACGGAUAAAAGGUACUCCGGGGAUAACAGGCUGAUACCGCCCAAGAGUUCAUAUCGACGGCGGUGUUUGGCACCUCGAUGUCGGCUCAUCACAUCCUGGGGCUGUAGCCGGUCCCAAGGGUAUGGCUGUUCGCCAUUUAAAGUGGUACGCGAGCUGGGUUCAGAACGUCGUGAGACAGUUCGGUCCCUAUCUGUCGUGGGCGUUGGAGAUUUGAGGGGGGCUGCUCCUAGUACGAGAGGACCGGAGUGGACGUUCCGCUGGUGUUCGGGUUGUCAUGCCCAUGGCAUUGCCCGGUAGCUACGAACGGAAGUGAUGACCGCUGAAAGCAUCUAAGCGGGAAGCACGCCCCAAGAUGAGAUCUCCCGAGAGCUUGACUCUCCUAAAGGCACCAUCAAGACUAGGUGGUUGAUAGGCACGGUGUGGAAGUGCAGCAAUGCAUUGAGCUUACGUGUACUAAUGAGCCGUGAGGCUUGACCG
RNAcentral lists this ribosomal RNA (1436 nucleotides) under metagenome. RNAcentral describes it as "bacterial LSU rRNA". It matches the Rfam family "Bacterial large subunit ribosomal RNA", at positions 1510 to 2925 of the family's 2925-position model. The record is from RNAcentral.